Cinara cedri is the source of this 245-nucleotide non-coding RNA. Lineage: Eukaryota; Metazoa; Arthropoda; Insecta; Hemiptera; Aphididae. The record is from the annotation of a GenBank genome assembly.
CUUACUUAUUAUCAUUUAAUAACGACGAAUUUAAGUGUAUGGCGAAUGUAAGUGUACGAAUUCGAUUUCGUAAGUUACAGUCACUUACAGAUCUGUAAAUAGUUAGUUUAGAGGUCUACAAAUAAUACAGAACGUUUAGCAACGAGAACGCGUAUAAAAACACAAAUUUCCAAUCGAAUCAUAUUUGAGCCGAUAGUAUUUUAGUUAAUAUUCUUAUUAUGGAUAAAAGAUACAAACACGGUCUU